Non-coding RNA from Clupea harengus (Atlantic herring), 540 nucleotides. The record is from the annotation of a RefSeq genome assembly. NCBI's taxonomy places the organism in Eukaryota, Metazoa, Chordata, Actinopteri, Clupeiformes, Clupeidae.
UGACGUUGGAAGUGACACCAGUCCCAAACUCACAGUCCUGCCCCCCCUGCACACCAGCGGGAGUUCAGCCACGUUGAUGUGCCUGGCUAACGGAGGCUUCCCGUCCGACUGGACGCUGAGCUGGAAGGUAGCGGGGAGCAGCAGGAGCGGGGAGACCAGUCGCUUGGGCCCACAGAAGGACGGCCUGUACAGCUGGAGCAACACCCUGACCCUCCCUCUCCAGGAGUGGACCCAGGGAGUCUCAGUGACCUGCGAGGCAAAGCAGGGCUCCCAAACUGUCACUGAGAUUCUGAAGAAAUCAGACUGCUCCUAGGGUCCCCUUUCAAAUGUCUGUCAUUAGCCUGAUUGAAAGUGUGUUUGAUAAAGACUCUUCAUCUCUGAUAGGGACUCUCUCUUAUUUCUGUUAGUGUGCAGCACUGAGUCACUGUCUUUCCCUCCCUUUCCACCUCAUUUACAGCAUUUGGGAAUCUGAAGUGCUUGUUACUUUGACCCUUUCAUGUUUUUUGACCAUUUAUUAAUAAAGGAGUUUGAUGAAAUUAA